UGCAGUCUGCAACUCGAGUGCAUGAAGCUGGAAUCGCUAGUAAUCGCGGAUCAGAAUGCCGCGGUGAAUACGUUCCCGGGUCUUGUACACACCGCCCGUCACACCAUGAGAGUUGGGGAUACCCGAAGCCUGUGAGCUAACUUAUAGAGGCAGCAGUCGAAGGUAGAAUCAAUGAUUGGGGUGAAGUCGUAACAAGGUACC
This 201-nucleotide ribosomal RNA is filed under the name uncultured bacterium. Its description in RNAcentral is "partial 16S ribosomal RNA". It matches the Rfam family "Bacterial small subunit ribosomal RNA", at positions 1299 to 1500 of the family's 1533-position model. The record is from RNAcentral.